UCUUAGUUGUGGCAUGAGGGAUCUUUAGUUGUGGUAUGCAAACUCUUGGUUGCAGCAUGUAGGAUCCAGUUCCCUGACUGGGAUAAGACC
RNAcentral lists this microRNA precursor (90 nucleotides) under Ovis aries (sheep). Its description in RNAcentral is "miRNA (ENSOARG00000023631.1)". The record is from RNAcentral. Lineage: Eukaryota; Metazoa; Chordata; Mammalia; Artiodactyla; Bovidae.